This is a long non-coding RNA of Rhododendron vialii, 539 nucleotides long. RefSeq lists it as uncharacterized. NCBI's taxonomy places the organism in Eukaryota, Viridiplantae, Streptophyta, Magnoliopsida, Ericales, Ericaceae. The transcript is spliced from 2 exons. The record is from RefSeq and is a predicted model, not a curated record.
UUUAAAGGAUGAAAACAUUGGUUUGUAUGGCUGCAACGAGUUGACUAUGUGAUUUAUAUGCCGUUUAUGAAGCAAGUUGAGACUUGGGAAUAGUGAUUAGGUGCUGAGCAAUGCAGGCACAGUUUUUUUUGUUUUUGUUUUGCCUUUUGUUCUGUGGUGCCUUCGUUAUAUUUUGGUCUGUGCAGUUUAGUAGGUUAGGCUGCAUUUACCAGAAAGUUGAUGGCAACUUUUAUAUCCUUUGCGAAUUAGGAUUCUCCAACAACUUUAGUAUACCUUGCACGUUGAAGUGUCCCUGUCCGAUCGUCUUGCUGCAGGAGGCACCUGGACCAAAAAACUAAGGGAAAGAAUGAGAAACUCAUAAAACUUGCAAGUGGAAGCAUCUGGUUGCUUAAAUAUGUAGUGAGGUUCUCGUUUGGUUUUAUAGAAACAUGUUACGGGCACUAUUCAAUCUGCUGGAAGUGCUUCUAGUGAUUGACUCUGGCUUGCUUAUGGUAUUGUAAUGCAGGAUGUAAACCAUCCACACAUAUUUAGUUCUUUUA